Molecule: unclassified non-coding RNA, 433 nt
Filed under: soil metagenome
Description: partial contains 5.8S ribosomal RNA, internal transcribed spacer 2, and large subunit ribosomal RNA
Rfam family: 5.8S ribosomal RNA (bases 1-120)
Source: RNAcentral
GAUGAAGAACGCAGCGAAAUGCGAUACGUAAUGUGAAUUGCAGAAUUCAGUGAAUCAUCGAAUCUUUGAACGCAUAUUGCGCUCUCUGGUAUUCCGGAGAGCAUGCUUGUUUGAGUAUCAGUAAACACCUCAACUUCCAUAUCUUUUUUGAAAUGGGAGUUGGACUUGAGUGAUCCCAACGCUUUUCCUCACCGAAAAGUGGCGGGUUACUUGAAAUGCAGGUGCAGCUGGACUUUUCUCUGAGCUAUAAGCAUUUCUAUUUAGUCUGCCUAAAAAACAGAUUAUUACCUUUGCUGCAGCUAACAUAAAGGAGAUUAGUUCUUGUGCUGACUGAUGCAGGAUUCACAAAGACAGGCUUCGGCCGACUUUGUAAACUCGAUCUCAAAUCAAGUAAGACUACCCGCUGAACUUAAGCAUAUCAAUAAGCGGAGGA